RNAcentral lists this ribosomal RNA (978 nucleotides) under uncultured bacterium. Its description in RNAcentral is "bacterial SSU rRNA". It matches the Rfam family "Bacterial small subunit ribosomal RNA", at positions 8 to 971 of the family's 1533-position model. The record is from RNAcentral.
AGAGUUUGAUCAUGGCUCAGGACGAACGCUGGCGGCGCGCUUAACACAUGCAAGUCGAGCGAGAACCAGAUCUUCGGGUCUGGGGAAAGCGGCGAACGGGUGAGUAACACGUGAGUAAUCCACCCUCGGCACCGGGAUAGCCCGGGGAAACUCGGAUUAAUACCGGAUGGCCCAACAGCUCUUCGGGGCGGUUGGAAAAGGUAGCUUAGGCCUCUGGCCGAGGACGAGCUCGCGGCGGAUUAGCUUGUUGGUGGGGUAAUGGCCCACCAAGGCGACGAUCCGUAGCUGGUCUGAGAGGACGAUCAGCCACACUGGGACUGAGACACGGCCCAGACUCCUACGGGAGGCAGCAGUGGGGAAUCUUGCACAAUGGGCGAAAGCCUGAUGCAGCGACGCCGCGUGAGGGAAGAAGGCUUUCGGGUUGUAAACCUCUUUCAGGAGGGACGAAGCUACUCGGGUUAAUAGCCCAGAGGGUGACGGUACCUCCAGAAGAAGCCCCGGCUAACUACGUGCCAGCAGCCGCGGUAAUACGUAGGGGGCAAGCGUUGUCCGGAUUUAUUGGGCGUAAAGAGCGUGUAGGCGGCCAGAUAGGUCCGUUGUGAAAACUCGAGGCUCAACCUCGAGACGCCGAUGGAAACCAUUUGGCUAGAGUCCGGAAGAGGAGAGUGGAAUUCCUGGUGUAGCGGUGAAAUGCGCAGAUAUCAGGAAGAACACCCGUGGCUAAGGCGGCUCUCUAGUACGGUACUGACGCUGAGACGCGAAAGCGUGGGGAGCGAACAGGAUUAGAUACCCUGGUAGUCCACGCCGUAAACGAUGGGUGCUAGGUGUGGGGGGUGUCGACUCCCUCCGUGCCGAAGCUAACGCAUUAAGCACCCCGCCUGGGGAGUACGGCCGCAAGGCUAAAACUCAAGGAAUUGACGGGGGCCCGCACAAGCAGCGGAGCAUGGUGGUUUAAUUCGACGCAACGGCGAAGAACCC